Molecule: long non-coding RNA, 3055 nt
Filed under: Triticum aestivum (bread wheat)
Lineage: Eukaryota; Viridiplantae; Streptophyta; Magnoliopsida; Poales; Poaceae
Description: long non-coding RNA (TAES_LNC022896)
Source: RNAcentral
UGGUGUCCUUCCCUGAAUGAGCACUAUUGAGUUAUCUGCUUCCCUUGAUUAACCCUUCAUUUAGAACUACAAGACAAAGCUUGAAAAAAUUGGCCUGUUGUCUUCCUGUUCACAUAAAUCUGCAACCUGGGUGUUACUAAUGUUUCCUCAACCAACUUAUAGUCACUUUUAACUGACAAGUGUAUCAUAACAGGUAUUCUGAUCUAUCUUUUUUGUUAGUUGCAGGUUCAGAAGCGUAGUAAUGAUAUUUGCUAACAGCUAUAUGAAAAGGAGCUGUUAAUAGGUAAAUCCUACCUCCACAUAUACAGGUUUGUUUGCUAUUACUUACAAUUACUACGCUUGGUUUAUCUUUCCCCUUUCCGUAUUGUUAAUGCUUGUGGUUAUAGAUUGACAUUAUUGAAGCAAAGAUCAUUUUUACAUAAAUGUUACAGGUGGCCGCAUGUUAGUAGGCUUGCUGAUUAGGAAUCACAUAAGUAAUUAGCCUCAGUAUCCCAGCCCAAUUAUUCAAUUAAUCAGUUGUUAACAUGGAUACACCGAGCCAAAUUAUAUAUGCUAGAUCAAUUUGUGUUAUUAUUUUUAUAAUAAUCAGAUCCAAGCUUUCCCUGUUGUACUUUAGUUUACCUGUUGUUCUUUGGUUAGCUGAUAAAAUUUAUGUUGUCCUAUUGAGAUUAAAUAUCCGCACUACCCAUAUUAAAGUGUACAGGGUUAUUCCUUUUUUUCGUUUUCACUUUAGCUUCCAUGUCUUGUUUGUUUCUAAAAUUGGGUAUUGUAUGAGGUACCUGCAUUUUCCAGCUUGCUAGAUUUGUUAAACACAUAAUCAUGGAAAAUGACUGAUGAAGAAGAGUUGUUGUUUUUGAGGAGCAAGGUACACGAUAUAUAUGCAGGGCCUCAUUGGUCAAUGGCUCAAUGGAUAAAAGGCCGUGCAUGUUCUCUUUACAAAAAUAAGAGAAAACCUUCAUGUGUUCCAGAUGCUUACUCGUGGUGAUGCCAACCUUUUCGGCUUUUCCUAUUUUAGAAGUUACUGGUUCUGUCAUAUGAAUAUCACCAUUUUUAAUUCUUUCAGUUGUAGAAAACAUUACUGGAACUUGCAUGAGCUUGUAUACCAUUUUGACCUCCUCGAAUUGAACGUUUCAUCUACUGAAGCACUCUGCUUGUGUACAGUUUGUAGGAGUUUGGAGUACUCUGCGCACCUACCUGUAGCGUGCCAUCACAACCACUUGCACAACAAGAGGUUUGCGCGCCACAUGUAAACUUCCUCUCCUUCCUCCCAGUCUCUAGCCACCCAUUGAGGGCUGGCACAUCAUGCCAAGGUGGGUUUCUCUGGAUCGUUCUCCAUCCGCUUCCAGAUCUCUAAUACUCUUAUCUUUCCGCCUAUCUAUGCAAGUGUUGUGGUUCCUUUCUCAUCCUUUUCUUAAAUAAACCUCUAAUUGAGGAGAGCAUCUUCUCACAACUUGUUACUACACUUUCUGGAUGGCCUGAUCUAAUAUUUUUUUUGGAUUUCUGUCUUCGAAGUACUUGACAAAUUUAUUGUAUAGAUAAAUAUGUUGUAGAAAAUGGCAUAGCCGAAUUGCUUGAUAUGUUUAUGCAAUUAAGCUGCUAGGAUAACUUCUGUAUAGUACUUCCUGUAAGAAAAGCACAAUCAUUCUAUCAACUAUACUAAUGAAAAAUGCAUAUAAUGUACCAUGAAAAUGGGAACAGAAUGUUCAAUUACUUUUGUUAAAGUACCGAUCUUCUGUGGUUCCAGCAUACUACAGCAGAUUGAUGAUUAAAGAGUAUUAGUGUUGAUAUAGUCCUCUUGGUUUAAGAUGAAUUAUUUUGUUUCUUUAAUCUAGGAAGCUGCAAAUCCUUUUUGACUUCUGUGAUGUGGUUACCACUACAACACACAAGUAUUGUAAGUACUUCCAAGCCAUUCCGGUAAUUGUGUGAUCCAUGCCUUUCACAAGUUGCAUUCACCAACGGACAUGCCUCAUUCCAGUAAUAUGCGGCAGAAAUAAUCUGUUAUUCAAAUGUUUACUGAACUGCUCAUGCUUACACUAAACAUUUUAUAUUUAAAAAAAUGUCAUUUGUUUUGAUUUUUCAUGACUUAGUAGGGUUCAAUUUUCCAUUUGCCACCAAUAUUCUCAUGAGUUGUAUGGCUGAUACUUCAAUCAAGACCAAUUUCCCUUUCUACUUUUUUGUUGAAUGGAUAGUCUAGCUAUUUGAAGGUAUCAGUACAUAAAUUAAUUUCUAAAAUAAUUCCAAUUAGUAUUUUCUGGCAAGCAUGCACAUUAAAGUUUCACUGUCUGCAAUACAUUAUUUUUGUUGUUAUACCGCUUGGACAACCUGUAUGACUACCCAAAUUAUUCUUUGUAUACUAACUCAUAAGAUUAUCUAGCCACCCUACCAAAAUGGUUGUCUUCAUCAAAAUCUGAUUUUCCUUGUUCCUUUCUAUAUCUCAGAAUUAGUAUUGUUUUUAUUUUUGUCGAUCACCUGCCUAUUUUUAUGGAGAGGUUUGUUAUUGACCUAGGUCCAAAUGUUUCACUAUCUGUUUAUUUUCCUUGGUGCUGGGAUACGAUGAUGAGUAUGAUGAUGCCAUUGGUCCACGUGAUGAUCUUGGUGACACUCAGCUAAAUUCAUCUGUUAGCGGGAGAAAACUCGAUGAUGGUGUUCAUGAGAGCGUAGUGAAGUGAAUGUUGCCUUUGAGAGACACAUCAAAGCAAGUGGAAAUAUUAGUCCAAUUCGAUCCUAGAUGUCACACAUUGCAUGUAUGAAUCAUGGUGGAUUCUAAGAUAUGUUAUUUUGCUAUUUCACUAUAACAUAUAUGUACAUGCUAUUUAAGAUAGCCGAAAGAGGAAAUGAGAAACCUAUCGUAUUUGUUUCCAUUGCGUGUUGAUGUGUUGUUUUCAUUUUUGAAUGUCUGAUGGUUUCAGAGAGAAAUCACCCUUAAUUUUUCAUCUUAUGAUAUGCUAUCUUAGGUGCAAGUUAUUAACUAUGUUAACAUCUGUUUUAAUUUUAUAACUGAAAAUGUGGUUGAUGUGUUUGUCAAUUGACAUUCGUGAUUAUUCUUACUUUGCAC